AUCAUAGUCAUCUUUAAAUACCUGCAAAGUAAUCAGAUAUAAGAGGACCAAAGGAGACACUGGUUUUAACUGAGCACCUUCCAGGUUAUAUACUAGCUACUAUGAAGUGUAUUUAUUCCAUCCUUACAGCAACCCAGAGGCAAUGAGAACUACCCUUAUUUUUCAAAUAAGAAAACUGAGACACAGAUGAUUAAGGAAUUUGCCAAGGUCCAAAGCUAACAGGUAUUGGAACUAGGAUUCAAAUCCAAGCCUGUCUGCCCCCUAACCUGUGUCUUGCUGCUGUGUGUUUUGCUUUGAAGGGCAAAACAGAGACCAGCAGGUAGACAUUCUAAAUCCAUAGAAUUGUGUUUAUAUGAAUGCAGUGUGUGGCAGAGAUUGUCUAGAUGUUCAUCAAUGCUGUUUUCUCUGUUCUGUUUCUGGACAUACAGGAACACUUCAUGUCCUAGCCUCCUUUAUAAGUAGAUUGGGGCCAUGUAACAGGGUUCUGGCAAAUGGGAAUGUGCAGAUGUGAUAUGUGAUGCUCCUGAUUCAUUCAUUCUGUCUCUUUCUCUCUCUCCCUCUCAGCUAGCUGAAAGCAGAGAACCCAGCAGAGGAUUCUGGGAAGGUCCUGGGGGAUGGCAGAGCCAGCAGAGAGAGGUUUCUCUUGAAAAUUAAGAAGAUCUGGUAAAACUGGGCUUGAAGACCAUUAUGGUAACAGGCUGCUGAAGCUGAGGAGAGGGCCCCUUCAGAUGGGCAUAAGCACUGCUCCCCCUCCCCAACCCCCCUUUUAGGUUACUAUCAGACUCUGGAAGCUUCUGAAUGUGUGAACCCUGAAAGAGUCCAUCUAAAGCUAAGUUCUCCCCAGGGGUAGAGCCCAAUGCUGGGCAUACAGUAGGGACUCAAUGGAUAUUUAUCAAAUGAAUGAAUACAGGUGGAAUUCAGAUCCGUUUGGCCUCUCUUUUCUGUGACUGGGGACCACUGAACCUGAGUCACUAAGUGAUAACUCACAACACAAAUUUUCUUCUUGUUCCAAGCAGCCAGGACCCAGGUUCUAGGUAUCUAAAAAUGCUGUGCCUGACUUGAGUUCGCAAUGACAUUUUUUAUCAACUGAAAAUGUUUACUUCUGUGCAACCAGCCAAAGCUGGGGGUAAGCAGCCCAGUGGGGUGCGCUGAUUCUAUCUUAGAUUACGCUGUGCACAAUGGACUCUUUGUAAAGUCCUUAUGGCGGGGAGUGGCCAGGCAGGCAUCUCCUGCACCCAGCUCUGGAGACUCACUUGCCACAAAGCUGAAGAAGGACGGGGCAGUUUUAAUAUACCUGGCUUAGAAAAGCCACAGACUGUUGGACUUACAUGUGGGUGUGUAAGCCCCACACAGAAGCAGCUUUUUCUCCAGCAUUGUUAACAAAGCUCAUUUAGAGGAAUGCAAGUCUGGGGCACGGCCUGGAUGGGCAGCAUGACGCACACACCACAUAAGCUCCAGACGCUCACUGAUCCCCUUCACAGAGGCUGAGCCUGCCCACCCAACCCUGCCCUCGCCCUCACCCUCACCUCCGCAGCCGGACCUGGGAUAGCACUGCUUUUCUUGAGAGGACUGAGUCUUAGCAUUGAGGAUGGGAAGGGGAGUGUAAGGGCUCUUCCAGGAGAGAAUCUCCUGCUUAUUUGCAUGGAGGAAGAAGGGAGCCUUUCCCAGUGCCUACACGUCUGAGUCCCAAUUGUGAGAGAAAAUGAAUUGCUUAAAGUUGCAGUUCUCAACCAGAGGUGAUUCCCCUCCCAGGGGAUAUUUGCAACACUUGGAGGGAUUUUUCAUGGUAAUGACUUGGGAGGGGAAUAAGGGAGGUGGUGCUAUGGGCAUCUGGUGAGUGGAGGCCAGGGAUGCUGCUGAGCAUCCUACAAAGCAUAGGACAGCCCCUCAUGGCAAAGCAUUACUCACCCCAAAUGUCAGUGUGCCAAGGUGGAGAAACCCUGACUUAAAGGAGGGCUUUUAUUACCUUUUAAGCUUAAGAAUUAUAAAAGGCAAUUUAUUGUUUUAUAAUUUAAAAAAAGGGUUAUUUUAAAUAUGGACAAAUAUGCUGAACUUCCCAAGUAUCACCUUCUUUCAUUAUUUGUGAUAACAGUCUUGGCAUAUAGCA
RNAcentral lists this long non-coding RNA (2107 nucleotides) under Homo sapiens (human). Its description in RNAcentral is "non-protein coding ZBED3-AS1:26". Lineage: Eukaryota; Metazoa; Chordata; Mammalia; Primates; Hominidae. The record is from RNAcentral.